RNAcentral lists this ribosomal RNA (581 nucleotides) under uncultured bacterium. RNAcentral's name for it is "bacterial SSU rRNA". It matches the Rfam family "Bacterial small subunit ribosomal RNA", at positions 102 to 669 of the family's 1533-position model. The record is from RNAcentral.
ACGGGUGAGUAACACGUGGGCAACCUGCCUGUAAGACUGGGAUAACUUCGGGAAACCGAAGCUAAUACCGGAUAGGAUCUUCUCCUUCAUGGGAGAUGAUUGAAAGAUGGUUUCGGCUAUCACUUACAGAUGGGCCCGCGGUGCAUUAGCUAGUUGGUGAGGUAACGGCUCACCAAGGCAACGAUGCAUCGCCGACCUGAGAGGGUGAUCGGCCACACUGGGACUGAGACACGGCCCAGACUCCUACGGGAGGCAGCAGUAGGGAAUCUUCCGCAAUGGACGAAAGUCUGACGGAGCAACGCCGCGUGAGUGAUGAAGGCUUUCGGGUCGUAAAACUCUGUUGUUAGGGAAGAACAAGUACGAGAGUAACUGCUCGUACCUUGACGGUACCUAACCAGAAAGCCACGGCUAACUACGUGCCAGCAGCCGCGGUAAUACGUAGGUGGCAAGCGUUAUCCGGAAUUAUUGGGCGUAAAGCGCGCGCAGGCGGUUUCUUAAGUCUGAUGUGAAAGCCCACGGCUCAACCGUGGAGGGUCAUUGGAAACUGGGGAACUUGAGUGCAGAAGAGAAAAGCGGAAUUC